RNAcentral lists this ribosomal RNA (440 nucleotides) under uncultured bacterium. Its description in RNAcentral is "partial 16S ribosomal RNA". It matches the Rfam family "Bacterial small subunit ribosomal RNA", at positions 338 to 795 of the family's 1533-position model. The record is from RNAcentral.
CCUACGGGAGGCAGCAGUAGGGAAUUUUGCUCAAUGGGCGAAAUCCUGACGCAGCAACACCGCGUGAGUGUUGAGCCCUUCAGGGUGUAUAAUUCUGUCAAUAGGGACGAAUUUUGACUGUACCUAUCCCGGACGCAGCGGCUAACUCCGUGCCCGCAGCCGCGGUAAUACGGGGGGUGCCAGCGUUGUCCGGAAUAAUUGGGCGUAAAGCGUUCGUAAGCGGCAAUGUAAGUCUGAUGUUAAAGCGCGGGGGUCAACUCCGGUUCGGCAUUGGAUACUAGCUAGCUAGAAUGUGGUAGAGGUAAAGGGAAUUCCUGGUGUAGCGGUGAAAUGCGUAGAUAUCAGGAGGAACACCGGUGGCGAAAGCGCUUUACUGGACCAUUACUGACGCUGAGGAACGAAAGCCAGGGGAGCAAAUGGGAUUAGAUACCCUUGUAGUC